GCAGGGGUAGCAAAGCCUGGUCAGAGUGCUUGUUGGUUCCUAGCGGGUUCGCAGGUUCAAAUCCUGCCCCCUGCA
RNAcentral lists this transfer RNA (75 nucleotides) under Candidatus Micrarchaeota archaeon CG1_02_49_24. RNAcentral's name for it is "tRNA-Thr". It matches the Rfam family "tRNA". Rfam says of the family: Transfer RNA (tRNA) molecules are approximately 80 nucleotides in length. Their secondary structure includes four short double-helical elements and three loops (D, anti-codon, and T loops). Further hydrogen bonds mediate the characteristic L-shaped molecular structure. tRNAs have two regions of fundamental functional importance: the anti-codon, which is responsible for specific mRNA codon recognition, and the 3' end, to which the tRNAs corresponding amino acid is attached (by aminoacyl-tRNA synthetases). tRNAs cope with the degeneracy of the genetic code in two manners: having more than one tRNA (with a specific anti-codon) for a particular amino acid; and 'wobble' base-pairing, i.e. permitting non-standard base-pairing at the 3rd anti-codon position. Lineage: Archaea; Nanobdellati; Microcaldota. RNAcentral also lists the same sequence under 2 other names. The record is from RNAcentral.